This 794-nucleotide ribosomal RNA is filed under the name uncultured archaeon. RNAcentral's name for it is "bacterial SSU rRNA". It matches the Rfam family "Archaeal small subunit ribosomal RNA", at positions 85 to 879 of the family's 1478-position model. The record is from RNAcentral.
ACUGCUCAGUAACACGUGGACAACCUGCCCAAAGGUCUGGGAUAACCCCGGGAAACUGGGGAUAAUACCGGAUAGAUCACGAAUACUGGAAGGUUUUGUGGUUGAAACUUCAGGGGCCUUUGGAUGGGUCUGCGGCUGAUUAGGUUGUUGCCGGUGUAACGUACCGUCAAGCCUGUAAUCAGUACGGGUUGUGGGAGCAAGAGCCCGGAGAUGGAUUCUGAGACACGAAUCCAGGCCCUACGGGGCGCAGCAGGCGCGAAAACUCUACAAUGCAGGCAACUGCGACAGGGGAACAUCGAGUGAUACUCAUAUUGGGUGUCUGUCCCACCGUCUAAAAAACGGUGGUUAGCAAGGGCCGGGCAAGACCGGUGCCAGCCGCCGCGGUAAUACCGGCGGCUCGAGUGGUGGCCGAUAUUAUCGAGUCUAAAGGGUCCGUAGCCGGCUUUGCAAGUCUUUUGGGAAAUCCAGCGGCUUAACCGUUGGGCGUCCGGGAGAUACUACAUUGCUUGGGACUGGGAGAGGUAGGAGGUACUCAGGGGGGUAGGAGUGAAAUCCUGUAAUCCUUUGGGGACCACCGGUGGCGAAGGCGUCCUACCAGAACAGGUCCGACGGUGAGGGACGAAAGCUAGGGGCACGAACCGGAUUAGAUACCCGGGUAGUCCUAGCCGUAAACGAUGCUCGCUAGGUGUCACAACAAUCGUGAAUUGUUGUGGUGCCGUAGGGAAGCCGUGAAGCGAGCCACUUGGGAAGUACGACCGCAAGGUUGAAACUUAAAGGAAUUGGCGGGGGAGCAC